This 64-nucleotide transfer RNA is filed under the name Galeruca macchoi. RNAcentral describes it as "tRNA-His". The record is from RNAcentral. Lineage: Eukaryota; Metazoa; Arthropoda; Insecta; Coleoptera; Chrysomelidae.
AUCUAAAUAGUUUAAUAAAAAUAUUAGUUUGUGGUGCUAAAGUUAUAAUUUAUUAUUUUAGAUU